RNAcentral lists this ribosomal RNA (301 nucleotides) under uncultured bacterium. RNAcentral describes it as "partial 16S ribosomal RNA". It matches the Rfam family "Bacterial small subunit ribosomal RNA", at positions 509 to 807 of the family's 1533-position model. The record is from RNAcentral.
CAGUCGCCGCGGUAAUACGAAGGGGGCUAGCGUCGCUCGGAAUGACUGGGCGUAAAGGGCGCGUAGGCGGAUUGUUUAGUUAGGCGUGAAAUUCCUGGGCUUAACCUGGGGACUGUGCUUAAUACAGGCAGUCUAGAGUGAGGAAGAGGGUUGUGGAAUUCCCAGUGUAGAGGUGAAAUUCGUAGAUAUUGGGAAGAACACCGGUGGCGAAGGCGGCAACCUGGUCCUUGACUGACGCUGAGGCGCGAAAGCGUGGGGAGCAAACAGGAUUAGAUACCCCAGUAGUCCUUGUCUCUUAUAC